This 607-nucleotide ribosomal RNA is filed under the name Rhizobiales bacterium So3Pw_2975. Its description in RNAcentral is "bacterial SSU rRNA". It matches the Rfam family "Bacterial small subunit ribosomal RNA", at positions 395 to 1018 of the family's 1533-position model. Lineage: Bacteria; Pseudomonadati; Pseudomonadota; Alphaproteobacteria; Hyphomicrobiales. The record is from RNAcentral.
UGCCGCGUGUGUGAUGAAGGCCUUAGGGUUGUAAAGCGCUUUCACCGGAAAAGAUAAUGACCGUUUCCGGAGAAGAAGCCCCGGCUAACUUCGUGCCAGCAGCCGCGGUAAUACUAAGGGGGCUAGCGUUGUUCGGAAUUACUGGGCGUAACGCGCACCUAAGCUGAUGGAUCUAUCAGGGGUGAAAUCCCGCAUCUCAACUGCUUAACUGCCUUUGAUACUGUCGGUCUAAAUUAUGGAAGAGGUGAGUGGAAUUCCGAGUGUAGAAGUGAAAUUCAAAUAUAUUCGGAGGAACACCAUUGGCGAAUGCGGCUCAGUGGUCCAUUACUGACGCUGAUGUGCUAAAGCGUGGGGAGCACACAGGAUUAAAUACCCGGGUAGUCCACGCCAUAAACUAUGAAGGUUAUCCGUCCGGCAGUUUACUGUUCGGUGGCGCAGCUUACGCAUUAAACAUUCCGCCUGGGGAGUACGGUCGCAAGAUUAACACUCAAAGGCAUUGACGGGGGUCCGCACCAGCGGUGGAGCAUGUGACUUAAUUCGAAGCAGCACGAAGAACCUUACCUCCUCUCGACAUCCCGAUCGCGGACUGUGGAUACCUUGUCCUUCA